GUGUAAAUUUCCAACAUUUUAUUCUUGUAGCUAUUAGAACCAGUUACGUGGCCAUCAAACUGAUCAGAUCUUGGUGGAAAGAUGGGUGUUCUCACGGGUGAACAGGGGAGAAAACGAAUGCAUGGAUUCCUGUUUCGGCUCAUACUUCAGAUUCUGACCGUGUGGAAGAAAGGACUGACUAACAGAAGGUCAAGUAGAGCUCUUACCUGGAACUCGCUGUUCCAUGAAGUACAGUGA
RNAcentral lists this long non-coding RNA (237 nucleotides) under Rhinopithecus bieti (black snub-nosed monkey). RNAcentral describes it as "lncRNA (ENSRBIG00000045312.1)". The record is from RNAcentral. Lineage: Eukaryota; Metazoa; Chordata; Mammalia; Primates; Cercopithecidae.